UGUCACAGACAUUUCUGAAUGAAGGAAGGUGUCACUUCUGUUUUCCAAGUAAAUGCUGUUGAUUCUUUUCAUAGACUUUGUGUGCUUAAAAUCAGAGUUUUUCCAUAGUCGGAUCACCAGUGUGGGGUCUCAGAAAUACUUGACAUUCUGAAGUGUUCGCGUGGGAGUUAAAGACCCGAAGCAUAUUCUAGGGAACAGGAACUGAGGCAGGACAGAAAUGAUUAGAUACAGCCCAACACGAGUUCACCGUCAAGUUCUGCUCCUGUCCCGGCUGUGUGAUCUUAGAAGGGUCACUGGACUUCUUUGUACCUCAGUUUCCUUGAAUCUAAAAUGAGGAAACUAAUUUUACUUCACGGGGAGCCCUGUGAGGAUGGAUGGAAAGUGCCUGGUAUAUAGGAAGUGCUCAGAGUUUGCAGAAGAAUUAAAUGCCAUCAAAUAUGGGAGGCCACUGGCACAGCCUGACACACAGUAGGUGCUUAGUACGUUGGAAUUCUCACCUGCUUUCCUCACAUUUCCUCCCAGAUAUCCAGGUAGGACGUCUGUGGGGAAACAAACAGUGAUGGCUCUGAUCAUCUCAGUGCCUCCCUCCAGCCAGAAGACCUGUGCACCAACUCUGUUAUUCACCACAUCUCCAAGGGAGGUUCCCAGCACUGGCCCACACCUUUCCCGGGCAGCUGGUGCCCAGACUUGGACACACUGUCCCUCGUCUUGUAAGGGUAUGCUCCCUCUGACCCUGUAACAGAGGGGAACAAUGGAGGUUGGGUCCAAUCACCUGGGGCCAAUGAUCUAAUUACUCUGUUGGAAUGCAAUUCCACGGUAUGUUUAACUGUGUCCCUGUCCAGAUCACCUCUGCACUGGGCAUUCGUGCAGCUUGCUGAGCCUUCUGCCCGUGAGUUCCAGCCUGUACCAAGUGAUGCUACCGGGCAUUUGCCAGAACCCUUUACUCAAUACCAUCUUCUCCAAGAGCUUGCCAGAGGCCACUGUUUGAAAAUCUGGGCUACACAGAUGAGCUCUGAGGCACACCUGUUCAACAGCUCUCACUACUCCAGUCUCCUGUGGACAUCACGCCUCUCGUUUUCUGCCACAUGCCCUAUCUGUAAAAACUGCUGGAGACGCUCUAUUUCUACUCCCAAUUCCCUGGUGUGGGUUUCUCUCCAUACUGAGCAAUUCUCCGACACCAGCUGGGUGUCCUAAACUUCAACUCAAUUCUGACACCGUCUCCCUGGCAAUGUCAUCCCAGGCUUCAGGCAAUGCAUUGUGCGUUUUGUUUAUAUACAGGCAUGUUGACGGACUUUUACUCUCAACGCAAAUGAGACAGGAAACAUCACUCAGCGGACAGGUGUCAUCAUUGCUCUUGGAAAAUGAAAAGUGCCAAACUCUGCAUUGAUGCAACUGGAAGGCAAGUGAAGCAAGGUCCUAGACCCAUUUGUUGACAAAAGUUCCAGAAAACUGAUGGACACAGUCAUUCUUUAUUUGCAUGACAGAAAGAAUACCUUUUCUGCAGUAACUCCUUCCCUGGCUGGACUCUGGGGCUCAAAUCGCCUCCCAUUCAGAGCUGCCCAGUGGCUUUCCUGGGAUAUAUCUGUGUCUGGCGUGGUGGAGCGGAUCAGGGCUUUCUUCCCUAAGCCCCAGCUUUGCAUGCCCAAAACCACAGACUUCUUUUCGGUAAGACCAAUGAGCAGGAAUUCCUAGGGCCCUGAGAAGUACUUCUUUUUCCAGUUCUAACUACUGGUGGAUUUGGGCUGGCUCUCUGGGUCACGCAUUAGCCAAAAGAGAGAGACAGAGACAGAGACAGAGACAGAGACAAUCCAUCCCUUUGGGGAGUCCUGAACACCCGCCCGAUUAGCUGUUUGCUGACAGUAGAUCCUUCAGAGGAACCAUUCAGAUCUGAGAGAUGCCCAGCUUCCCCGUGUCCCCAUGCCACAGCCCACCUAGAAAGCCAGGUCUGACAGGUGAGGGAAUCAAUGACACUCCAGCUGCCUCCGAGGUAAUCCUCGAGGAGAGACUUGCCAGGUGGACACUGAUAAAGAAGACAGAUGACUGAGUGCCUGACUCCACAGUCAUCAAUAAACGCUGACAGUUGGUGCAGAAGAACCAAGUUGCCAGAGAAAGAGGGGGAGGUCUGCAGCUAACUGUGCAGGCACAGGCCAGUCACUUGCGUGUUCACCUGGUGUCACUGACGUCACGCGUCCUCAGAAGGAGGGCAUGGCGUCCCCACGCCUCCAAUACUGACCAGGAAGUCAAAACUAAGCAAAAUAAAACUUGCUUCAUAUUUUUAGCUCCCAAAGCCACUGAAGGCUGGAACAUUGAAAUGACUCCAGUUUAUACCCCUUGGCAAAAAGUGUGCUGCAUAUUUUAGAAAAUCCCUUAUUGUUUGCAGAAAUUUUGAAAGAACACCCAAUUUGUGGCUAUUUCUAAAUGUGCUCCUAUGCCAUAGUUAGAGGCAUCCUCCGGAGUAAGCUGCCCGAUGCCAAUCAGGAGUAGACCUGAAGCAUUUUUCUUAAUUUUAGCAAUAACUGAUACAAAAGCUCAAACCACACUCUCAAUAUUUUAUCAUCAGUUGGUAAAGCAUCCACAAGACAAGGCAUUCUUGUUAUCUCUUCUCCCACUCACGGUCGUCGGUUCCCUGCCUCCUGGUCUGUGGGGAAACGUAUGGCAGGAGGAAAGUGAGGGGCCUCGCUGAAUGUGCUUCCCAGGCUGUGGUGUGCAUCGAACAAGGUGACAGAUUGACACUGGAGGCCAUAAGCUCCAGUGUCCUACCCAUGCUGUUCGUUAGCAGUAGGAGUGCUUUUUCUAUCAUGCCAAAACUGGAAUGUCUUUCCUGAGCUCCCCAGCCUGGGUGAACCUAUUCUAGAAUGUUCUGUGUGCCCUUCCAUCAGAGCACUGUUCUCACUGCAUUAUCAUUGUCCACCCCCACCCCCACCCCGAAGGAAAACAACAUAACUUACAGAUCCUUUGAGCCACAGUGCCAGGAAAGGGUGGGUGUUUUAAGUGCUUUAGAUAAAGACAGACUGGAGGAAUGAGCAAAGGAAACAUACAAAUGUGAAGAGACCCUCCUGUUUCCUAGUCCAGGGGGGCAAGCGGGCAGACUGUUGUUCUCAUCAGACUUGGUCAGUGGAGAUUCAGCUGCCCUUCCCUGCGGAAGGCCCUCCCAUAUCAACAUCACUGUGGGAAAGGGACUUGCUCGUUCCUGCAGAUUCCCUCACAUGCACAGCACAGGGGAGGAUUACUCUCUCGGGGUAUCCCUUACUGCUUUAGUCAAUCCGGGUGCUCUGUUUGAAAUCCAGCACGUGAGAAGGUCUGGGUAAAGUUGCUGGGAUGGAAGAAAACCUUGGUAUUGACUUAAGACGGUGGUGUGCCAGAGCCAGCUCAUACUGGAGGGAGAGUGAGACAGAGAGAGACACAGACAGAGAGAAUUGCUAAAUUCCCAGGAAUUUCACUAACCAGUUGAUAUCAUGCUGAUAUCUUGACAUUGGCAAUGGUUGGCAGUACUCACCCCCUGAAAAUUGGUCACUGCUGCAACUGAGACCUCUUCUUUCCUUCCAGGGUGCUUGUUGUUAAAUAUUUACCAACACACCCCUAACUUAAGGUUGCAUUCAAGUGUGGAAUUCACGAUUUUGCUGGUGCUUUCUGAAUUAUAUUCUUUUCUCCUCCUCCCAAGGUGCCUUUGAAUUCCACCCCAUCUGCUCUUUGUGUGUACUUCUGGAGAAAUCCUAGUGUUAGGUUCACAGAAGUCAAAGCAAUAGAUUGUUUGUUUGUACAAAGCCUUUCUAUUGUUUGAAGUGAUUUCACAGCCGGUUCUUCAUUUUGAUCUGUACCACAACCCUGAGAAGGACAGAGUUCAUACUCUUAUUUCCAUUUUGCAGAUGGGAAACCUGUAGUUCUGAGUGGAUCUAUGGGAAUGAUGGGGCAAGGUAAGGGAGAGGACCCAGGGAUUUUCCCACCACUUUGCUGCCUCCUGAAGUCACUAGACAAAGCAGCCACUAUUCCUAGGACAGACUGUGGCCGGGGAGAGCCAAACUGCAGUGAGAGCAGAAACAGCUUUUAUGUGGUUUGGGGCUGCAUUCUGUGAUUCUUUAUGUAGAAGCAAAUUGUCCUUUUAAUUAUUGUGUGGGCUGUACUGAAAUAGAGGCACAUUCCUUGAGCCACUGGCAGCAGCCAGAAUGGCCCAGGUGUUCAGCCUGAAGAUCCGCCAAGUUUCAAACUUGAUGCUUAUAAUCGCGAGUGGUAUCUGGGUUUCUACGCAGAAUGUUUUGUUUUUUCAACUAGGACUUUGGAAUAUUAUAAAUGGGAAGCACGAUGGAAUCACCAAGCCAGUCACAGUGUAUUCUAUUAUGAGAAGGAGCUGGGGACAAGGUAGUAGGUAGGGGACAGUGAUCAGAGGGUGUUCACUGAGCCAUUGAGGGACCCCGUCCUGUCCACCCUGAUCCAUUUCAGCCCUGGGAACCUCAUCACCGUUUCAAAGGGUAAGCUCACUUGGUUGAAUGGCUGGGACUUAUUUUUUGAAAAUGCCCUAUUUUCUCGCAUAAGGUUGAGGCAAGGAAGCAUGUUGGCCUAUACAGAACUGGGGUCUCCAGACAGUCGAAGCAAAGAAAAAGCCAGACCCCUAUCACAUAUUCCUCUUUAUCCUUCUACCUUGGGGCCGGGGUGACCCUUGCCUACUUGCCACUGCAUAUGAAUGACCUGCCAACAAGAUUUCACCUUACCCUCCUGGAAGAUGAAGAAGGGCCACACAAUUCCCAGAGUGGGGGUUGCUGUCUCCCUUGUGCCCCUUCUCUCCUUUUUCAUAAUGUCACUCAAAUUCCUCGUUGGGGAACUUCUGCUCUUUCUUGUCACGUUGUAUUUGUGGGGCUAAGAGUCAGUCUUAGUGGGAUUUUUAACCAAGAGCUUCUCCCCUCUCUCGGCUAAAGGGAGACCCCGGACCCCCCUCCGUCACUCAGACUCUCUGGCCUGAGAUCCAAACACAGUUCCACGAGGGGAAUCGAUCAGUGCUAGCUCAUCCCACAGGCCGAGACGUGAGCUGCCCAUCCGCAGGUUCCUGAAACUUUGCCCUGGAUCCUGGUUUAUCUGUGGACUGACUAUCCUUCCUGAGAGUUGCAUUUCUCCUGGCCCCCCGAGAAGAAGAGCCCCUCCACUCCGGAGUACUCAGAGACCACACAGCAGACCUCCCUGCCACCUGCUUUUCUCAUAGUCCUUGGACUUCUCAAGACCACAAGAAGCACACACAGGAGGAAACUGCUUAGCAACUGCACGUAGGAAAUUAGGAAUCCAAAACAUUACUGCGAGUUUCUUCUUCCCUACUUCGUUCUCCUAUGUCGUUUUCGGUUGUUCGCGAUUCAGUCAUUGUUCCAUCACACGACACGCUAACUGGUUCUGCAGGGUCCAGGAUGGGAGCUGCACGGAGGCCCUGCUUGCCUUCCUGGGGGGCUGCAGGCAGAGGUCCUAGGGCAUGGCCCCAAAGGGCUGGCUGGCUGGGGGAGGGGGAUGCAGGGGCUUGGGCUUGGGCAGCCCUAGAGUGAGGCUGUGCUCAGGCCCCUGGG
Molecule: long non-coding RNA, 5540 nt
Organism: Herpailurus yagouaroundi (jaguarundi)
Lineage: Eukaryota; Metazoa; Chordata; Mammalia; Carnivora; Felidae
Exons: 3
Source: RefSeq, a predicted model, not a curated record